GCACAGACUCUACGGUGCAAUUUAGUUGAGCAACACAUGCUGYGAUCUACGGGACUCAGCAAACCCUGGGAUCGAUAGCUGCAGAGAAGGAUUUGCCAGCCAAAAGGAAUAUCCCCCUGACAAAUAUCUCAGCCCAAAUCUGUGUCUGGGGGCUUGCUCUCUGCUGUUGGUGUGGUGGAUGUGUCUCCGUGCCUGCUAUGUGGAACUGGAAAGUGCCCAGGGAAUCAGACUGUGGACAGAAUUGCUUCUUUUAAGUCACCUAUUACUGUCUGGAUCCGAAUUUAAGCAACAGCCUGAAAAAAAAAAAGGAUUUUGUGAAGCUAAGACUGGAUUGAGCUGCUCCUCCUCAUCUUGGAUUACCCCUGCCUUAGAGAAGUGAUUUAUUGUUCUGAAUUCCACUGUUCAUCUGUGUCUUGGGAGUGGUGGGAAUGCUAACCCUGAGCAUUCAGAAAUCAUGCAAUUGGAUUAUAAUGAUUGUAAUGAUUACUUGUGUUUUUCUGUAUAGGAGAAGAACUGUAGCUGUUCCAACCUACCUGCCAAUUGCGGAGCCUCUUGCGUUCACUGACAUGCUAUAAUUAAUGCUUUUUAUGCAGACUU
Molecule: long non-coding RNA, 597 nt
Organism: Nothoprocta perdicaria
Lineage: Eukaryota; Metazoa; Chordata; Aves; Tinamiformes; Tinamidae
Exons: 2
Source: RefSeq, a predicted model, not a curated record